GACCUCAGAUCAGGCAAGACUACCC
This 25-nucleotide ribosomal RNA is filed under the name Zoanthus gigantus. RNAcentral's name for it is "partial 28S ribosomal RNA". Lineage: Eukaryota; Metazoa; Cnidaria; Anthozoa; Zoantharia; Zoanthidae. The record is from RNAcentral.